UACGAAGGGGGCUAGCGUUGCUCGGAAUCACUGGGCGUAAAGGGUGCGUAGGCGGGUCCUUAAGUCAGGGGUGAAAUCCUGGAGCUCAACUCCAGAACUGCCCUUGAUACUGGGAGCCUUGAGUUCGGGAGAGGUGAGUGGAACUGCGAGUGUAGAGGUGAAAUUCGUAGAUAUUCGCAAGAACACCGGUGGCGAAGGCGGCAUCCUGGACCGGCAUUGACGCUGAGGCGCGAAAGCCAGGGGAGCAAACGGG
RNAcentral lists this ribosomal RNA (253 nucleotides) under uncultured bacterium. RNAcentral's name for it is "partial 16S ribosomal RNA". It matches the Rfam family "Bacterial small subunit ribosomal RNA", at positions 524 to 776 of the family's 1533-position model. The record is from RNAcentral.